GAUUGGGAUGACUUGUGGCUAGGGGUGAAAGGCCAAUCAAACUCGGAAAUAGCUGGUUCUCCGCGAAAUCUAUUUAGGUAGAGCGUCGACCGAAUACCCUCGGGGGUAGAGCACUGGAUGGGCUAUGGGGACUCACCGUCUUACUGAUCCUAACCAAACUCCGAAUACCGAGGAGUACUAGUCGGCAGACACACGGCGGGUGCUAACGUCCGUCGUGAAAAGGGCAACAACCCUGACCUCCAGCUAAGGUCCCCAAGUCAUGGCUAAGUGGGAAAGGAUGUGAGGAUCCCAAAACAACCAGGAUGUUGGCUUAGAAGCAGCCAUCAUUUAAAGAAAGCGUAACAGCUCACUGGUCUAAAUAAGGGUCUUUGCGCCGAAAAUGUAACGGGGCUAAAGCCAUGCACCGAAGCUGAGGAUUUGCAGUAAUGCAAGUGGUAGCGGAGCGUUCCGUAAGUCUGUGAAGGCGGACCCGUGAGGGCUGCUGGAGAUAUCGGAAGUGCGAAUGUUGACAUGAGUAACGAUAAAGGGAGUGAGAGACUCCCUCGCCGAAAGACCAAGGGUUCCUGCUUAAAGUUAAUCUGAGCAGGGUUAGCCGGCCCCUAAGACGAGGCGGACACGCGUAGUCGAUGGGAACCACGUUAAUAUUCGUGGGCCUGGUGGUAGUGACGGAUCUCGUGUGUUGUACAUUCUUAUUGGAUUGAAUGUGCGGCGAAGAGGUUCCAGGAAAUAGCUCCACCGUAUAGACCGUACCCGAAACCGACACAGGUGGUCAGGUAGAGUAUACCAAGGCGCUUGAGAGAACUAUGUUGAAGGAACUCGGCAAAUUGCACGCGUAACUUCGGAAGAAGCGUGACCCCAUUUUAGGCAACUAUGAUGGGGUGGCACAGACCAGGGGGUAGCGACUGUUUAUCAAAAACACAGGGCUCUGCGAAGUAGCAAUACGACGUAUAGGGUCUGACGCCUGCCCGGUGCUGGAAGGUUAAAGGGAGGGGUGCAAGCUCUGAACUGAAGCCCCAGUAAACGGCGGCCGUAACUAUAACGGUCCUAAGGUAGCGAAAUUCCUUGUCGGGUAAGUUCCGACCUGCACGAAUGGCGUAACGACUUCC
Molecule: ribosomal RNA, 1106 nt
Filed under: feces metagenome
Description: bacterial LSU rRNA
Rfam family: Bacterial large subunit ribosomal RNA
Source: RNAcentral